AGGGACCCUAAAAUGAACUGUCCUCCCAUGAGUCUCACAGUCGACUAUAGAAUGAUCUCUUUUCCAGAGCCAAACAAUGAGUCGAAGUGCUUCACAGUUUGUAGUUUCCCAGCUGACAACCCAUACACCUUGGGUUACUAUUUUCUAGUGUUGUCUUUAUUUCCAUACUGUGUCAUUGUUCUGGAAAUUUCUCCAUGGACAGUUGUGAGCUUCAACAAUUUGCACAGCAUUAAACAGUCUAAGAUCAUGACCUGUGCUGUGAACUUUAUUCCACUGGCAUAUGCCAGUCCAUGAAGGCCCACCAUACGGACCAACAAAGAUCUCCCCACAAGUGUGUUUCAGCAAAAGCUCCCUGAAUAAGGCGUGUACUGUUUUAAGUCACAUCAAAAUCCCACUGAACACCCGGAUGAAAUCUAGAAAAUACAGUUGGAAAUAAAAAUACCCUGAGUGUUUCUCCACUUCUGACUGUGUGCAAUCAACUUUGCAUCCACUCGCUCACUCUGCAUGAGUUUGGUUUUGAUGAUCUAUUUCUUAUUGAUAGCAAAUUGUUUUGUGGAACGAAGGGCUCAUGAAUGCUGAUGGGAAGGCAUGUAUUCAUUCCAGCAAUGGGCUACCAUCAGACCUAGCAACUAUGCCCAUCUCAGUUGCCCCUUCGCAUAUCUUUUUUCCCAGGUUAAAGCAUAGCAGUACCUACUGUAGUUUGUUUAAGGGACCUAAGGUAUUUCCCUAAGUCAGAAGUUCAUAUGUCUGAUAGCAGCAGUGAGGGGAUGGAGAGGACCCUAAACGGCAUGUUUUAAAGGGACUUUCCAUUUUGACAUUUUAGCUGUUGUAUGCUACUAAUAUAACUGUAGAGAGGUGGCAAAUCUAUAAUACCAGAAGGGGAAAGUAUUCUUUUGCUGUGCCUAUGAUUGCUUACAUUUUUAAAACCUCUAGUUUUAAAAAAAUUUUUUUGAAUGGUCAAAAAUCUGGCAAAACUGGAUAUAGCUGUGCCGGCAGAUCUUCCAGUCUGAAACUUUUAUUUUUAAGUAUGCUUUUUCCUUCACUUACACCACAGUUCUUCGAGUACUUUCUACAGAUGUUCAUCUGAAGUUGGGAAGACUUUGGAAAGCUCUAAGCAGAAGAGUGCCUAGAUCCAUAACCUGAGAUGUCCCAUGCAUAUCAUACAGAGGGAAUAUGUGUUAUGAACUGCUAACAGGAGCAGACACUUAAUAAUUCCUCAUUGCUAUUUCCAGGUCACAAGCCCUCCUUCCUCUUCCUAAUAGCCACUUCUCUUUCAUCCACCAAGAAGGUUGCUGGUCCCCUUCAGUCACUCUUCCAUGUUGCUCAUGAAUUCAGCCCGUGGCCCCUGCCUUUUCCAGCACUACCCUUCUGAAUGCUUGAUGAUUUUAGUACUCAUUUAUAGACACACCUACAAAUACUCUGGCUUCUCUUUUUGUUUAAAUCUUUCUGGUGACACUUAUUAUCAAUGACAAUAAAAGUUCCUAAAGCCAUAGUGGGAAAUUGCUCCCAUUGGCUCCUGUGUCUUAUACAUCCUUUCCAAGCAAAGGCCAUUGCUUCACCCAUAACCCUUCCCUUUUGCAUCACUAAUGUCUCCCAUUCUAUGGAGGAUUUCACCCAUGUCCUGUGUUAGAACCCUCCCCUAGGCCUUAGUACCCCAUUUCAUUUCCAUCUAUUUGGUCUGCUUCCCUUCAAAGAAAAACUACCCCAGAGGAACUGUGUCUACUCACUAACUACAUUUCUUUCUUUCUUUAGAAACAUUUGAACUCGGUCUUUCAUCCCCAGAAUGGUGACUUAACUAAGGGCAAUACUAACUGCCUCCCUGCCCAGUGCAGCAACCAGCUUUGGUUGCAUGCUGCUACUCUUCAAUCUUUGACACAGUGAAGAACUGCUUCUUGAAACAGUCCCUGUGCCUUGGACUUCCCUGUUUGCUGGCAUGUGCUAGUAGCUGGUGCUGGAUAUCCCUUUUCUAGGUGAUCUCUUCAAUGUUGAGCCUUAGAAACCAUCUAUACAAUGGCAUGAGCACAUCUUCAUCUCCAACCCCAGCCUCUUUCCUGAAUGCUGGAGUCACGGGCCUAAUUCCAUAAUAUGUAUCUUCAUUUGGAUAUGUGCUGUGUCCUGCCUCCCCCGCACCCCCCCUCCAAAAAAAAACCAAACCAAACCAAACCAAAACUGAUUCAUGGUCUUCCCCUGAUUGGCAAAAUGUCAGCUCCACUCUUCCACAUCAGAAAAAUCUCAUUGUCAUACCCUAAUUUUACCCUUUCAAAUACUAUAUUUUAGAAACGUGGCCUUUCUUAGAUUUGGGGUAUAUCAAUGAUCUAAUCUGGGCCCAGGCUACUUUCUAUCUGCCAUAAUGCUUUUAGAAUACAAGCCAAAAUAUGCCUCUCUUCUUCUAAGUUCUACAGAGUCCUCCCAGCUAGCUCCGAAUAACAUAUUCAUGUGGCCAAUAAAGCCAGUGAAAUCUCCCCUACCUUUUCAUCCUCCCCAGCUACCCUUUUCUCUGACCUGCUUUUUCUGUUCACUUGGAUCUAGCCAUGUAAUCCAUGUUUCCCCCAGAAUACCCUCACAGCAUGCCCCUUCGUGAUAGGCUAUUCAGAAACCUCAUUCAUCACCUAUCUGCAUAGUUUGCUCCUUCACUUUCUUGAGAUCUUGUUGACAAAUCUUCUUUUCCUCUCAGAGAGCUGUAUUAUAGAAAACCACCACCUACAACCACUUUCCGCUUACCACCAUUCAUAGCCCUCCUCACUAGCUACUUUGUUCCUGGGUUUGUCUUCGAAGUGCUUUGAAGAAUACCUAACAGGCAGUAGCUACUCGGUAAAUGUUUAUUAAAUGGAUGUUUGAAUACAAAUAAACAAGGACAAUUUUGAAAUCAAAAUGGCAUAAACUAUGUGGUUAAUUUUAGUUUCUAUACCAAAAUUAAAAAGCUAUUUUCAGAGGCCAUAAAAUCAUAAAACACAACUUUGUUUUUAUAUAAAAAUAGAAAACCCUAUGGAUUUUCAGUCCUUGCAGGGAAGACUCCUGACUUUGACCCUGGCUAUCCUUUCUUGCUUCAUGAAUCACCUUUACAAACUAAGUUACAGGAUUAGAAGAGAAGCCAUUAUAUAGACUGCUGAAAAAAAGCAGCAUUUCAAAACUCAUAGACAAACACAAGUAAUGGCCCCCUCUAACCUAUUAUCAGUGC
Molecule: long non-coding RNA, 3178 nt
Filed under: Mus musculus (house mouse)
Lineage: Eukaryota; Metazoa; Chordata; Mammalia; Rodentia; Muridae
Description: long non-coding RNA chr3:28672207-28675385
Source: RNAcentral